Molecule: ribosomal RNA, 464 nt
Filed under: uncultured bacterium
Lineage: Bacteria
Description: partial 16S ribosomal RNA
Rfam family: Bacterial small subunit ribosomal RNA
Source: RNAcentral
GACGAACGCUGGCGGCGUGCUUAACACAUGCAAGUCGAACGGAAAGGCCCUGCUUGCAGGGUACUCGCGUGGCGAACGGGUGAGUAACACGUGGGUGAUCUGCCCUGCACUUCGGGAUAAGCCUGGGAAACUGGGUCUAAUACCGGAUAGGAGCCAUUUUUAGUGUGAUGGUUGGAAAGUUUUUUCGGUGUAGGAUGAGCUCGCGGCCUAUCAGCUUGUUGGUGGGGUAAUGGCCUACCAAGGCGGCGACGGGUAGCCGGCCUGAGAGGGUGGACGGCCACAUUGGGACUGAGGUGAGGCCCAGACUCCUACGGGAGGGAGCAGUGGGGAAUAUUGCACAAGGGGCGCAAGCCUGAUGCAGCGACGCCGCGUGGGGGAUGACGGCCUUCGGGUUGUAAACUCAUUUCGCUAGGGACGAAGCUUUUGUGACGGUACCUAGAUAAGAAGCACCGGCUAACUACGUG